AAUGACCUUGCUUCACAAUUUUGCAGCACGGCAUGCUGCUCCCCAACAUUCAUCUGACUCGGAGGCAAGUCUGUUAACCAUGAUGUCAGCAGGAAUUAUUUUGACAGCUGCCAGAAGCAGUAGCAUAAGACUCAAAAGUUUUCAUUUUAGAAUGUGGUGUUCUAGAAUGUUGGUCUGAUGUAUACAUGCUAAUGGACAAUCAAAGACAGUAGCACAGUGUUCAAGAGAAGAACCCACAAGGAAAAGCGAUCACAUCAAUCAAUUAAACAAAACACCAGUUUUUUCAGGGAACGUUGGGAGACUCCUGAAGUUUUCUCUGUGUGUUACUUGGUGUCCGUGUCCCCAGCUCUGCAGUAAAAGUCUAAAGAAAAUGGAAUCCUUUUCUCUUUAAACUGUAAUGAGCAACAAUAGUCCAAGGACCAUACAGAAAGUGUCACACUCAGAUGAGCAGUACUGAGUGUAGAAUAAGAUCGCUAACUGGCCAUUGAUGACAUGUCCUGUUUCCUGGUAUCCAGGAGACUGAAAAUCACUUGGUUUUCUUUAUCUAGGCCACAG
Molecule: long non-coding RNA, 555 nt
Filed under: Equus caballus (horse)
Lineage: Eukaryota; Metazoa; Chordata; Mammalia; Perissodactyla; Equidae
Description: lncRNA (ENSECAG00000052346.1)
Source: RNAcentral